GUCUGUGCUUGGGGUUGACAGCCAGAUGAUGUUCCAUGACCUCCGCGUCGAUCCCUGGCAUGUCGGCUGGGACCCAAGCGAAUACAUCUGCAUUCCUCCGGAGGAAACCAACAAGGUGCGUUCGCACUUCCUCCCCCAGGUCGGAACCGAUUAACACCACAUGUUCCGCAUUCCCAUCAUUCAGGGGAAUCGGUACCAGAUCUUCGAUUGGGCCGCCCC
This 219-nucleotide long non-coding RNA is filed under the name Elaeis guineensis (African oil palm). RNAcentral's name for it is "long non-coding RNA (EGUI_LNC068242)". The record is from RNAcentral. Lineage: Eukaryota; Viridiplantae; Streptophyta; Magnoliopsida; Arecales; Arecaceae.